GGUGGACAGUCAGCUGUUCAGCGACUUCAAGGCGUGGAGGGAGGAGCCGACGCUGGAGCGCAGCUGCUGCUUCCUGGAGAGAGUUUACCGAGAGGACAUCUACCCCUGCCUCACCUUCAGCAAGUGUGAGUUGGGGUCGGCCAUCUUGGAGGCGGUGGAGCAGAACACCCUCAGCGUCGAGCCGGUUGGGUUCCAGACGCUGCCCGUCGUCAAGGCCUCAGCUGUAGAGUGUGGGGGACCAAAUGGGCGAAGAGCUGAACUCGUCACGUAAGUCUGACUCUCCCCCCCUCUCUCUCUCUCUCUCUCUCUCUCCCCCUCUCUCUC
Long non-coding RNA from Notothenia coriiceps (black rockcod), 324 nucleotides. RefSeq lists it as uncharacterized. Lineage: Eukaryota; Metazoa; Chordata; Actinopteri; Perciformes; Nototheniidae. The record is from RefSeq and is a predicted model, not a curated record. The transcript is spliced from 3 exons.